AGAGAAUCUUGCUUCUCUUGAGAGCGGCGGACGGGUGAGUAAUGCCUAGGAAUCUGCCUGGUAGUGGGGGAUAACGCUCGGAAACGGACGCUAAUACCGCAUACGUCCUACGGGAGAAAGCAGGGGACCUUCGGGCCUUGCGCUAUCAGAUGAGCCUAGGUCGGAUUAGCUAGUUGGUGAGGUAAUGGCUCACCAAGGCGACGAUCCGUAACUGGUCUGAGAGGAUGAUCAGUCACACUGGAACUGAGACACGGUCCAGACUCCUACGGGAGGCAGCAGUGGGGAAUAUUGGACAAUGGGCGAAAGCCUGAUCCAGCCAUGCCGCGUGUGUGAAGAAGGUCUUCGGAUUGUAAAGCACUUUAAGUUGGGAGGAAGGGCAGUAAAUUAAUACUUUGCUGUUUUGACGUUACCGACAGAAUAAGCACCGGCUAACUCUGUGCCAGGCAGCCGCGGUAAUACAGAGGGUGCAAGCGUUAAUCGGAAUUACUGGGCGUAAGC
RNAcentral lists this ribosomal RNA (498 nucleotides) under Pseudomonas sp. RNAcentral describes it as "bacterial SSU rRNA". It matches the Rfam family "Bacterial small subunit ribosomal RNA", at positions 72 to 565 of the family's 1533-position model. The record is from RNAcentral. Lineage: Bacteria; Pseudomonadati; Pseudomonadota; Gammaproteobacteria; Pseudomonadales; Pseudomonadaceae.